RNAcentral lists this unclassified non-coding RNA (279 nucleotides) under uncultured fungus. Its description in RNAcentral is "sequence contains ITS1". The stretch from base 1 to 97 matches the Rfam family "5.8S ribosomal RNA", at positions 49 to 154 of the family's 154-position model. Lineage: Eukaryota; Fungi. The record is from RNAcentral.
UAAAGUGCGAUAUGUAGUGCGAUUUGCAUGAAUCUGUGAGUCAUCUAAUCUUUGAACGCAACUUGCGCCUCUUUGAGGCAUGUCUGUUUGAGUGCCGCAUACAUCAAUGCAGCAAUGCGAUUUGACUGUUGUCCCCGGACUCGGUCUAAACGUAGCCAGAUGGUGGCCUGUGGUAGGCUAGCUUGAGUGCUAAGCAUUCUCUGAGCUAGGCUAUACAGCCAUAAACACAUCAUCAUUAUAUUUGGCCUCAAAUCAGGCAAGACUACCCGCUGAACUUAA